CUUCCUCGAUCUGCUGGGGGCAGAUGAAAUGGAUAUGGGCGUCCAUGCCGCCGGCUGUGAGGAUCUUGCCUUCGCCGGCAAUGGCUUCGGUCGAGGGGCCGAUGAUGAUGUCGACGCCGGACUGCGUGUCGGGAUUGCCGGCCUUGCCGAUGCCAGCGAUGCGGCCGUUCUUGAGGCCGAUAUCGGCUUUGUAGAUGCCAGUGUAAUCGACAACCAGCGCAUUGGUGAUGACGGUAUCGACGGCGCCCUCGGCACGCGUGCGCUGCGACUGGCCCAUGCCGUCGCGAAU
RNAcentral lists this small RNA (289 nucleotides) under Devosia lucknowensis. Its description in RNAcentral is "Devosia sp. L15 5' ureB small RNA". It matches the Rfam family "5' ureB small RNA". Lineage: Bacteria; Pseudomonadati; Pseudomonadota; Alphaproteobacteria; Hyphomicrobiales; Devosiaceae. The record is from Rfam by way of RNAcentral.